This 477-nucleotide long non-coding RNA is filed under the name Homo sapiens (human). RNAcentral's name for it is "HSALNT0373972". The record is from RNAcentral. Lineage: Eukaryota; Metazoa; Chordata; Mammalia; Primates; Hominidae.
GGAGAACCUGCCACAUAUGAAGCACUGUGUUAGGCACCACUAGAGAAGCACAGAUAAAAUGGAGAAGAUCAGGGAAAGUCUGAAUGAAGGCCAGCAGGCAGUAUCAGCCGAACCAAGAAGGGCCAUAAAGCUGCAGACCAGGAAAUCUGCCCUCUGAGAGCACAGAAUUUAGAAUGGACAGCAAAUUUAGUAAAAGUGUUCCAGCUAGAAGAUUUGGAUGAAAAGUGAUUCCAAAAAAAUGAGGCAAUCUCAUCCCGAAACUAUUUAAAACUACUCUCCUCUCUCUUGAUAAACCGUCAGUAGGAAGUGUGUCGUUUAUUCCCUCACUCCACACUGGAUUCAUAUGGGCUGAUAGCAGCAGGAUUAAAAAUUUUUUUCAUCAUGAGUUAAAUCCCUAAGAUUUAGAGUAUUUUGUUUGUCUGAAUGUCUAAGCGGUACAAACCUUAGCAAUCCAUAUUAAAAUGGAGAAUUCCUUCU